This 322-nucleotide unclassified non-coding RNA is filed under the name fungal sp. RNAcentral's name for it is "partial internal transcribed spacer region". The stretch from base 1 to 46 matches the Rfam family "Eukaryotic small subunit ribosomal RNA", at positions 1786 to 1831 of the family's 1831-position model. Lineage: Eukaryota; Fungi. The record is from RNAcentral.
AAGUCGUAACAAGGUAACCGUAGGUGAACCUGCGGUUGGAUCAUUACCAAUUUCAACUUUUUCACAAUCAAGAAUUUCCAUUUUGCGGUGCUCCGCAGUUGGGAAUUGUGAAAAAAGGGGAAACCAACUUGUGCACCUGUAAUCGUACAUUGGCGGCUGUUCAGUGCCUUGUGCUGGACGUGCAUUCAAUUGCAAAGGCCGUCAAUUUACCAAACCUAUUAAAACUUCUAAUUCUAUCUAUUUUUCUUUCUUUCUUUUCUUUGCUGAAAAGAAAUAAAACAAAAGCUAAGAACAACUAUUAACAAUGGAUCUCUUGGCUCUC